UUUGUGUUUGAUCCUGGCUCAGAACGAACGCUGGCGGCACGUUUUAAGCAUGCAAGUCGAACGGUAGGAUAGUGCUUGCACUAUCUGAGAGUGGCGAACGGGUGAGUAACGCGUAGAUGAUCUGCCUUUCGGUUGGGGAUAGCCCAUGGAAACAUGGGGUAAUACCGAAUAAGAUCCUUUUGCUUUGGCGAGAGGAUGAAAGGGGCUUCGGCCUCGCCGAGGGAUGAGUCUGCGUAUGAUUAGCUAGUUGGUGGGGUAAAGGCCUACCAAGGCGACGAUCAUUAGCCGGCCUGAGAGGGUGACCGGCCACAUUGGGACUGAGACACGGCCCAGACUCCUACGGGAGGCAGCAGCUAAGAAUCUUCCGCAAUGGGCGAAAGCCUGACGGAGCGAUGCCGCGUGGAUGAAGAAGGCGGAGACGUUGUAAAAUCCUUUUCUCACAGAAGAAUAAUGCUCAGAGGUAAUGCUGGGCAGAUGACGUUAUGUGAGGAAUAAGCACCGGCCAAUUACGUGCCAGCAGCCGCGGUAACACGUAAGGUGCGAGCGUUGUUCGGAAUUAUUGGGCGUAAAGGG
This 573-nucleotide ribosomal RNA is filed under the name Ctenophora environmental sample. RNAcentral describes it as "partial Bacterial small subunit ribosomal RNA". It matches the Rfam family "Bacterial small subunit ribosomal RNA", at positions 1 to 567 of the family's 1533-position model. The record is from RNAcentral. Lineage: Eukaryota; Metazoa; Ctenophora.